AAACAUAAUCAAACUACUUAUAUACAUAUAUGACCAUUAACCUAUUUACAUGUCUGUCAUAACAUUGCCUACAUAAGUGUACAGACCCAUUCUACCCGGGCCCAAACCCACCUAAACCUAAACCCAAAACCCAUUACAAACUAAACCCAAAUAAGCCUAGACCUGGCCCAAUUAACCCAAUUACCCCAAACCCAUUUCUAGCAGCCCAAAAUAAAUAAAAACAGAAAAGAAAGAAAAAACCUAGCCCUAGGUGCACCGCACCUAGGGUAUUCAGACCCAACUACCGCCACCGC
This 293-nucleotide long non-coding RNA is filed under the name Gossypium raimondii (Peruvian cotton). RNAcentral's name for it is "long non-coding RNA (GRAI_LNC010610)". Lineage: Eukaryota; Viridiplantae; Streptophyta; Magnoliopsida; Malvales; Malvaceae. The record is from RNAcentral.